This 429-nucleotide ribosomal RNA is filed under the name Actinomycetes bacterium. Its description in RNAcentral is "Actinobacteria bacterium partial 16S ribosomal RNA". It matches the Rfam family "Bacterial small subunit ribosomal RNA", at positions 355 to 776 of the family's 1533-position model. Lineage: Bacteria; Bacillati; Actinomycetota; Actinomycetes. The record is from RNAcentral.
UAGGGAAUCUUCCGCAAUUGGCGAAAGCCUGACGCAGCAACGCCGUGUGAGUGAUGAAGGUCUUCGGAUCGUAAAACUCUGUUAUUAUGGAAGAACAAAUGUGUAAGUAACUAUGCACGUCUUGACGGUACCUAAUCAGAAAGCCACGGCUAACUACGUGCCAGCAGCCGCGGUAAUACGUAGGUGGCAAGCGUUAUCCGGUAUUAUUGGGCGUAAAGCGCGCGUAGGCGGUUUUUUAAGUCUGAUGUGAAAGCCAACGGCUCAACCGUGGAGGGUCAUUGGAAACUGGAAAACUUGAGUGCAGAAGAGGAAAGUGGAAUUCCAUGUGUAGCGGUGAAAUGCGCAGAGAUAUGGAGGAACACCAGUGGCGAAGGCGACUUUCUGGUCUGUAACUGACGCUGAUGUGCGAAAGCGUGGGGAUCAAACAGG